This 512-nucleotide long non-coding RNA is filed under the name Olea europaea subsp. europaea. Lineage: Eukaryota; Viridiplantae; Streptophyta; Magnoliopsida; Lamiales; Oleaceae. The record is from RNAcentral.
CUUUUCUAUUUAAUAAAUACCCGAAAAUUUGGGUUCAGUUCGAUUCCCGUUAGAACCGAACCGAAUCACACCAUAUCCAACCCUAACCAUAACUAUUGCCAAAAGAAAGAAGAAGCCAAAAUCAAAUCAUAAAUCAAGCAUUAUGGCAUUUUACUUUUGUCAUGUCUCAACCUCUAACUUAGUGAAAGUGGCUCCCUUAGUAGCUGUUGCUGAUGGGAAAUAAUGCUGCCAAUUCGGUUCACUUGUAUGCCUUGAUUAACUCUUUCAUGCUCACGGAAGAUGACGUUUCUGAAGUCGCGACAAGGGUGCACGCGGUGGAUGGUGCGGGAAGUUUGGCGGACUAGGAGGCGGAGGAGAGUAAAAGUAGAACCAUGCAGGAGGUGGUGGUGACAAGGCUACAUGUGGCGGAUGGUUGGGCAAGUGUGACGGACUAGGAGGUGGAGGAGAGUAAUAGUAGAACCACGCAGGAGGCGGAGGUGGCGGUGGUGUUCUGUGCAACCUUUUUCGUUGAG